GACGAACGCUGGCGGCGUGCUUAACACAUGCAAGUCGAACGGAAAGGCCCUGCUUUUGUGGGGUUCUCGAGUGGCGAACGGGUGAGUAACACGUGAGUAACCUGCCCUUGACUUUGGGAUAACUUCAGGAAACUGGGGCUAAUACCGGAUAGGAGCUCCUGCUGCAUGGUGGGGGUUGGAAAGUUUCGGCGGUUGGGGAUGGACUCGCGGCUUAUCAGCUUGUUGGUGGGGUAGUGGCUUACCAAGGCUUUGACGGGUAGCCUGCCUGAGAGGGUGACCGGCCACAUUGGGACUGAGAUACGGACCAGACUCCUACGGGCGGCAGCAGUGGGGAAUGUUGCACAAUGGGCGGAAGCCUGAUGCAGCAACGCCGCGUGCGGGAUGACGGCCUUCGGGUUGUAAACCGCUGUCGCCUGUGACGAAGCGUGAGUGACGGUAAUGGGUAAAGAAGCAACGGCUAACUACGUG
This 468-nucleotide ribosomal RNA is filed under the name uncultured bacterium. RNAcentral's name for it is "partial 16S ribosomal RNA". It matches the Rfam family "Bacterial small subunit ribosomal RNA", at positions 28 to 507 of the family's 1533-position model. The record is from RNAcentral.